GCUCAGGAUGAACGCUAGCUACAGGCUUAACACAUGCAAGUCGAGGGGUAGCAGGGUAGCAAUACCGCUGACGACCGGCGCACGGGUGAGUAACACGUAUCCAACCUUCCCAUUACUCGGGGAUAGCCUUUCGAAAGAAAGAUUAAUACCCGAUAGUACUUUUUCGAGGCAUCUCGUAAAAAGUUAAAGAUUUAUUGGUAAUGGAUGGGGAUGCGUUCCAUUAGAUUGUUGGUGAGGUAACGGCUCACCAAGUCUUCGAUGGAUAGGGGUUCUGAGAGGAAGGUCCCCCACAUUGGUACUGAGACACGGACCAAACUCCUACGGGAGGCAGCAGUGAGGAAUAUUGGUCAAUGGGCGAGAGCCUGAACCAGCCAA
Molecule: ribosomal RNA, 375 nt
Filed under: uncultured Bacteroidales bacterium
Lineage: Bacteria; Pseudomonadati; Bacteroidota; Bacteroidia; Bacteroidales
Description: bacterial SSU rRNA
Rfam family: Bacterial small subunit ribosomal RNA
Source: RNAcentral